This 443-nucleotide ribosomal RNA is filed under the name Dinophysis acuminata. RNAcentral's name for it is "partial Bacterial large subunit ribosomal RNA". It matches the Rfam family "Bacterial large subunit ribosomal RNA", at positions 2014 to 2455 of the family's 2925-position model. Lineage: Eukaryota; Dinophyceae; Dinophysales; Dinophysaceae. The record is from RNAcentral.
CGCUGUCUCCACCCGAGACUCAGUGAAAUUGAAAUCGCAGUGAAGAUGCUGUGUACCCGCGGCUAGACGGAAAGACCCCGUGAACCUUUACUACAGCUUGGCACUGAACAUUGAACCUACAUGUGUAGGAUAGGUGGGAGACUUUGAAGAUGAGACGCUAGUCUUGUUGGAGUCGUCCUUGAAAUACCACCCUUGUAGUUUUGAUGUUCUAACGUUGGCCCCUGAAUCGGGGUUACGGACAGUGCCUGGUGGGUAGUUUGACUGGGGCGGUCUCCUCCCAAAGAGUAACGGAGGAGCACGAAGGUUGGCUAAGUACGGUCGGACAUCGUACGGUUAGUGUAAUGGUAGAAGCCAGCUUAACUGCGAGACAGACACGUCGAGCAGGUACGAAAGUAGGUCAUAGUGAUCCGGUGGUUCUGAAUGGAAGGGCCAUCGCUCAACGG